UUUUUUAACGUAUGUGUUAUCCCCUCAAAAUAACUCCAUAGAUCAUUACUAUAUUUACUUUAGUGAUUCCCUUUUUCUUCUUGACUAUGUUACCUCUGGGUAAGUUCUUCUGUUUCAAAUGUUUGUUUUGUAUAUGAAACGUUUUUGUUUUUUGUUUUUUGUUUUUUCUUUUCAAUUAGGGUCUACAUUGAAUGGUGCUGGCAACUGGAGAGUUACCUGGGUCAUAGACAUUAAACAGUAUUUUUCUCUGUCAUAUUUCUAGUCAAUACCUAGUACAUAGGAUAUACUAUGUAAAGCAUAAAUAAAAGAAAAUUAAAAGAAUGAAUGCAUAAAAUUAAUGGACUUAAUAUAAUAUUAAUAUAAAGAUUUUUUGUGUCUUGUUUAGUAUAUAAAGUUGGGAAUGUAAGAUUGUUGAGCUAUGAAAUUCACAAUGAGGAGUCAGUCAUGGUAAAUUAUCAAAAAAUGAAGAAAAUCAUUGGACAAGUGCUUUCCAGUUAAAAGAUUUAGAUACAAGAACAAGAAGGUAGAGGAGCUCAUGAAGACAAAUAGGGAAAAUUGCAGUUGAGAGUAGUCUUUCUUCAGAAUUUUUUUGAUUGUCACUUUUGUUGAAACCUAGUUAAUUUGAGAUAUUUGUGUGGCACUUACCUCAAUGCAUGAAUAAAGCAAGGGUUCAAAAAACAUUUUCAUCAUUAUAUUUAUUAGCUACCUCCAGCUAUUGCUCUGGAUUCCACGGUACCUCUUCGUACCUCUAAAAUGAACCUCUUUUAGUCAGUUUGUUUCUCUUCCUUUCAAUCAGUAAUGUCUCCAACAAGAUAGAAUUCUCUUUUUCUCAGAAGGAGACUGAUUUCAUAAAUCAAUGAUGGCUUUGGAAUUUAAGUUCACAGGUCUUUGUGCAGGCACCUGUCCUCCCCAAAUUGAUAGAUAAUCAAGAUCUUCAAUGACAAGCAGAAUGAAAAUUACCAAAAUAUUACUCUUCCUGAAAAUCCUCUCAUUAAAAUAUAUAUGUAUAUUCAUUUGCUUCUUCAUGAACUUUGUACCCACGUAUUGCUUAUUGCCUUUAAUUAUUUCCAUUCUUUAUUGUCCCCACACUGUGUUAUCAGCAACGUGAAGACCAGAGUAUUAUUCAAAUUUGAAUCUAUAACAUGUAGCAUAAUCCUUGGUAUAUUAUAAGACAUCAAAUGUAAAUUGGGAAAUGAAUGAAGUUAUCUGGUGAUGUGGAAUUGAAAUGAGCCACAUUUAUUCAUACAUACCUAUUCUUUAUAAUACAAAAUAUUUCUUUGUAAUACAUACUGCCAGAUGCUAGAGAUAAUGUUCUGAUCAACACACUCUUCUGUGGGUAACAUUUUAGUAAGGACACAGAGAUUAUAUAUCUAAUGGCAGCAUUUAUUAUUUAGUUACAAUUACAAAAAAAAAAAGUGCUGUGACUGAGAACUAAGAGUGCAGUGUAAAAGUAAACAAAGAGAUAUAUAGUCUAGGUGGUCACUGCUUCUUUGAAGAACUAUCUCAGAUAUUUCAUAUAUAACUAGGAAUUCAGUAGCCAAUGCAUGGAGAAGGAAACUUGUGGACAUAAGGAAUAGCAUUUGCUGGAGCUCUGGGGCAGCAGGCAUUCCAAUAUGUCCUGGAACUGAAGGAUGACUGGUGUGGUAGAGAUCAGAUAAAGAGUGACACCAAAGGAAACAUGGGUCAGUUACAUUAGAAUUUUGUGGAGCAGGCUUAAAUACAUGGGCUGGUUAUAAAAAGAUUUAGGAGAUAAAACCAAAUGGCUGCAGUGAAUAAAUUGGAAGGAAGCAAAGGUAGAUACUGUGAGAGCAGUUCAGAAGUCAAUGUGAUAGUCCAGGCAAGAAAAAAUGAUAGUUUGAUCUCAAGUUAUCCCAAAGAGAUGGAGGGAAACGGAUGCCUUUCAGAAAUAUUUAGAGAUAAAAUCAGCUAUUUUAUCUCUAAAAUAGAGAUAAAAUAUUUAGAGAAAUUGGUUUUUAGGGUCAUAAAAAACAAACAAACCAAAAAUAGGUGGGGGGAGGGAAAGGAACUAGAUCUGUCCAAAAGAAAACAGACUUCAUAAAUACACUAGAGCUAUUGUAUUUACAUGGUCAAACUAACAAUAAUUUCCAAUUGAUUUAAAAGAUACCUAAUUGCCAAUCUUAUUCCCCAUCUUUAUAAGACUGACUCCUGCAUCUUUAUUGGAAUGAAAAAGAAUGUGGAAGGCAAAAAUUCAUUUGAGAUUCUUUAUAAACUUUGAGUACCAUGGGGCUGAGUUUUUUCAAACUCUUUUGGAUAAAAUCUUUACGUGACAUUUAUUAUUUAUGUUCCUGGUUCAUCAGACAUAAAUCAACCAUGUUUCCUUGUCCUGUGUUUACAGAAAGACUACCAGUUCCCAGCCUUCUUCCACUUGGACAGAGCCAUGCCACUGAGGUCUAGUGUGAGUAGAAAUUGCAUACCUCUCGUAAAACACACUAAGGAGCCUAAAUAAUUGGAAGUGGCCCAGGCAGGCUCUUAGUGUCUAAGGGCCCUGUUUUGCACACUCACUGAUCAGGAAAAGGUGAUAAAUACCUGAAAGACCUCUGAUGCUUCUCAUAGCCCUGUAAUAUAGCCUCUUGUAAACAGAAUUUAAGCCAUGUAUCGGGAUAUACUGUGAUUGCAGAAAUGAUAACAUACAUCAUUAGACUGAGAAAGGAGACUCAUCUAAGCAACUGAGAAGAAGAGUGGAAACGAAUGAAAUAAAAGAAACAACUGUCAUCCAAUAUGUUAACCUCAAAUAUGAGAAAAUUAAUAUUUAUAAUGAAUAAAGAACAAAUAUAUUUGUGUGAGUAUGACUUGACAAAACAUACCACAAACAUAUAAUAUAAUUAAAUAUGCAUAUAAUAGUGAAAGAAAUUAAAACAAAACAAUCUUAGAAUAUAAAUCUUAUUUUAAAAAUGUAUUAAAAAUUAUGUAGUAUGUAAUGAUGAGAAUGUGAUGAAGCUAGCACAUUUAAACAUAGGAGGUGAUGUUGUAAAUUUUUGCAGCUAUCUUGGAAAAUAUUCUGGCAAUAUGUGUGAAAGAAAAUCAUGAUACUCAUAUUUUUGAUAUUAGAAUUUAUCUGGAACAGUUUGAGAAAAAAAGGACCUAAAGUUUUUACAGAGCCAUGUCUAUAAUACUGAAGCUAUCUCUAACAAUACAUUUCUAAAAACCUGACCAAAAAAGUGAAACCAUGACUCCAGUAAUGUUAUGGUGGUUUAAAUUUUGAAAUGCUAGUUUAAUAAAAGUAUCAUGUAAGCCUUUCAAAUAGUAUCCAUUAAGAAUAUGUAGAAAGUUAUAAUAAUAACUAACAUUAUAAAAAAUUUACUAUUUAUAAAGUGAUUUCAUUUAUUGCAUCUAACCCUGAAGCAAGUAGUCAAAGAGAAUAGUCAAAGGGAGCAUAAUGUAGAAGAUAAGAGCGUGGGUCCUAGAAAUAUACAGGUAUUAUUCCAACCCCAGCUUAUAAACCAUGUAACUUUUGGCAUAUUUUUCAUCCUCUCUCUGGUUCUUGGUUUGUUAUCUGUAGGAAUGAGAAUAAUAAUUAGACAUACUCCUAUGGAAUUCUUCAGAAGAUUUAGAUAAGGCAUUCAGUUAUAGAAAACUUAUUAUUCCAUUGUUCAGAUAAUAAAACUGGCCACCAGAAAAACAUGUAUUGUCUAAUAUGAUUUAUUUACUAAGUUUUAGCAUCAGAAUUUGAUUUCAGGUACCCAGAUAACACAUCUGUCAAAAAUAUGAUAUGCUAUUUUUGUCUGUGCAUAGUAUGUAUUUUGCUGCCUCAGCAAGAGAAUAUAAUCUCCUAAAAAAAGCAAAGAAAGAAAAGAAGAAAGAAAACUUGAGUCAUAUACAUGUUUUAUUUCUUCCAUCCCCUAUUAGUGUGCAAUGAACCUAAUAUGAGUAAAUAACCUUAAAGGAAUGAUGUUCCUUAAAUGAGUAAUUCCCUUGGCACACGUCUAACAAGAUGACCGAGAUCAUUUAAAGUGCCCCAGUUUGAACUUCCUCAACUUACUUCACUUCGGUACAAAAGUUUUUGUAUUCUUUGGCCCUCCAUCGUUAUUUCUUGGAAAGAUACAUCUGCCACCAGUUUCCUGGUGAUUCAUUGCAUUGCCUCCAAACUAAAAGCAUUAUCAUUCUUUCAGUCAUCUGGUCUAAUGACAUGGCUUAUGAUACAAUAAAAAUGGGAGAUACAAUAUUUCAGCUACAUGAAAUUUACAUGAAAUUUAGGUGCAUGCAAGAAAAAAAAACUGUGACUAGCAAUCAAGGGAUUGCUAAUUUAAGGUUAUGGGCUAAUAUGUCAACUUCUAAUGUUAUUAUUAUUUGGUGCUAUAAAAAUUUGAGAGAAAAAGAAGAAUGGGAAAAGAAAAACAAUGCUGGUAAGGAAAUUAUCCCCCUGCCCCAACUGCCUAUAUAUUUUGUUGUACUAUAAAACAUAUAUUUUUGCAUAAUAAAAAUCAUAGGGCUGGAUAUAUGAUUUAUUUUAACCAUAUGCUUGCCUGUGUCCUAUACGUUUUGUCCAGUUUACUCUUUUCUACAUAAUUUUCAAAAUUAGUGGAUGUUUUAUGCAUAAAAGUUUAUGGAAUGUUUUAAAUUUGUGGGUUCUUUUUGUCACUUUUCUGGAAUUGUUGCAAUACAUUAUAGAAGUAAUCAUUGUAGGAUAAUUACAAGUGAUUCACUUUAGUGUCAGUGAGAGAAAGGUCAUAUCUAUUUUAGGUAGACCCCAAUAAUUUAUUUCACAACCAUAACAAUAAAAUUGAAGUGAAUUUGUGAUAAUCCAUUUAAAUUGUUAAGAAUAACAGUAUUUGUGAAUUGCCUUAUCUGCAUUUGGUUCAUUGUGUGUGGGAAGAUAUCAUCACUAAUGGAAGAGUUUGCUUUGGACAUAAUAUAUGACUUUUCCUAGAAAAAAGAUCAUGAAGAAAAAGAAACAAUUUAUAUGGAACCUAUGUAAGUAGUAGAAAAGAAUAAUUCUCAAACUUAAAAAUUUAUUUUAGUCACACUAUGGCCUAAUGAUGCCCAAUUUUUGUACACACAUUGCAAUUUUUCUUCCACAAUCUGUGUAAUAUUAAGUACACAAUUCCUGAGAAAAUUGCCCUUUACAGAGCUCCACCACAAAAUACAGGAGGAAAACAAAAAAAUGUUCAACUGUACUUCAAUUUCAUAACACAUGGGUAUAUACAGUCUUAGGUUCCUGUCUAAGGUCAAACACAAUAACUGUAUUUAUCAGUUGAAUACCGUAUUCUAUGUAGAACAUGUUGUCAAAUGGAUCUUUGAAUCCUUCUUCAUCCUACUAACUCUAAUAAGUGUGUAAUAUCCUUUUCAGAUCAUUAAUUAUUCAUGAAUAUAUUAUUAAUUUAUAAACAUGAUUUUCCUUUGGUAAAUUUAGUUUCUCUUUAACAUAUUCUAUUCUAGAGCUUAGUGGCGGUAAAUAUCUUUUUUACGUAUGUUAUAUAAUUGUAUCUUACCUGUCAUUCUGAUGCCUCUUCUCAAAGAAUCUGUUUUCACUGUCACUGUUGGCUGAACAAUGAGCCACAGCACAACCCCACAGGUUGGCCAUACUAAAAUGUACUAAGAGUGUAUAAGAGGUUGGGCCAAUCUGAUUAUCUCAGCUAAAACUUUGAAAAAAAGACUCAGGAACAGUCACUAGGAGAUAGAUAGAUAGACACAUACAUACAUACAUACAUAUGUACAUACAUACAUGAUAAGUAGAUAUGAAUAGUCCCAUGAUCUAGCAUCUGCAAGCUGAAGACCAGAAAAGCUAGUGGUAUAAUUCAGUUUAUGCCUGAAAAUCUAAGAAUUAUGGGAGAUGAUGGUAUAAAUUCUAGUCCAAAAGCAGAAGGCCAAUGUCCCAACUCAAAUAAGCAAGAAAGAAAACAGUUCUCCUUUCGUCUGCUUUUUGUUAUAUUGAGACCAUCAAGAGAUUGGUUGAUGCCACUCUCGGACACUCGCACAAAUAAUGUUUAAUCUGGAGACUGUGGCUCAGUCAAGCUGACACACAAAAUGAACAAUGAUACAGAGAGAAACAAUGGGCACAGGGAAACAGAAGAGAGAACAAAUAUUUUCUGUGUCCCUAUAUUGUAUUACUACAUUUCAUAUGAUUUGUUUAAUAAAAUUAAUUACAUAUCUGCCUGAAAAAUGCAUUUUAGGCUUUUAUCUUCAUGACUCCAAGCAAAAACAUCACCAUAGAAUAGAGAGUUUUCUGAUGACAUUUUAAUGGUGAUCUAAGUUAGUAUACAAUUUGGCUAAGCACAUCUGGAGAGAUCUUAUUGUUAGCCCUCAACAAACCAUUCUAAUAUGAAGUACUUUGUCAUGGUUCAUUUGGUUUUGUUGUAUACACUCACACAGAGGGUGUGAAUUCACUAGUAGAGAUCCUUUGAAAGAGAUCCUACACAAACUUUGCAAGGAGAAUAGUGUCUCAGCAUUUAGACCCCCAACUUUUCAAUAGGCCUACAUAAUUAUUUUUAGGCCUAAGGAAAAAGUCAAUUUCUGGUUCGUAUGUGGCUGAUAUGAAGGAAAGUCCCAAGUAAAAGAAAAUCCAGCUUCCAAUAAAUCAUACGUAUGGCCAGAAAGAACAGUGCAUUUACUACCAGCAUAAUAGUCUAUACGUCUCCAAUUAAUGGCCCAAUGAACUGGAAAAAUGCACAACUUCUCCAUGAAGCCAGAUAAAAACAUCUACUUCACAGGACUGUUGUUGAAUAUUAAAUAUGGUGAUAUAAAUAAAAUGAUUUUCAAAUUACAAAUAAGUUCAAAGAAGUAUCAUUUCUUGUAUAUUUUCAUGAGCAAUUUCUUGUUCAUGACCAGGUAGACAUACUUCAUUUGUGCAGUUGCUAAUAUAAACUCCAUUACCCACUUUACUUUGGUUUAUACCAUAAUACUGCAUGUACCUAAUUCAGUUUAUCUCUCCAAGGAAUGGAAAAGUGCAUUCUGCUUGCUUCCUGUCAAAAAAGGUAGUUUAUUCUUGCUACUGAGAGUUUACUGGGCUUGUAGUGGAGUACUAAGGUGGUUCUGGGCCCCAUAAAUAUAGACUAUUUGAAUUUUAUAAUCUCUAUAUUAUUGAAUAAGUAGCUAAAAAUAUCAUUAACACUAAUUAUCUAACUUAAUCUCUAUAAUUGAAAUUAUUAACUAGAGAUUAUUGUUUAGAAAUUAUUGCAAUAUAUAUUUUAAUAGACUUCAGUUCAUUACUGAAAACAGCAUAUUUGUAAAUGUAUGAGUUUGCUUAUAUAAACAUAUGACCUGUAGACUUAGAAAUUUUGGAACACAAAAUGUUAAUGCCACAUAGACUUAUAUAAAAUUAUGUAUAUACACAUAGACUCCUAUGUUUACAUAUACAUAAAAUAUAUAAUCAAUAUAUAACAUUGAAAUAAAUAUAUGGUUUAUUGAUCAAAUACCCAGGCAUAAUAUGGAAAUAUUGCCUAAGUGAAAUUAAUUUCACCUCAUUAAUGAAAUAGCAAAUGAAGUUAAACACCAAAUGUAAUGCCCAAGGAAAACCGUGCGUAGAGAGACAUACAGGAACUAUGAAGUUUUUUAGCCAUUUGAACAAUUUAGACAUUGUUUUAAGGAAGCUAAAAGAUUACUCUUUGAUAAAUUUGCUUCUUUAUGUUCACUGUAACAUGGAAGCAAAUAUGUUAAGAACAGUAGUGGAGUAAUUCCAAGGGUCUUCAGGAAUAUCUGGAUUGCCACUCAAUGUAGAUACCUUGUCUUAAAAAAAUUUUUUUAAAUAGAAAAACUCCUGAAGUCUAUAAAUCAUAAACAAAAGCUGUUGUGCAGAAAUAAUACAAAUUAUGGAUAGAAGUAGCAGAAAUUGAACUAAUUUCAUAGAAUAAGUUUUGAAGUAAUGUAAUUUUGCUACUUCUAUAUUCCAUCAAUAAACAAUACAGUGUAGUACAUUAAAUUAUACUGGUAUAGUUCCUCUGUUAUAUUUUCAGUUUAUUUAAAAAUAGACAAAUGACAGAAGUAAAAUCAUCAAAGCAUCCUUUUUUUCCCCCGUAGGUUUCAGUCACAUAUACUGUUCCUUUGCUUUUAGUUGAUUCCUAUCAUAGAGUUGUUCUACACAUAGGAUUUCCUCAUCGUAGCCUAGGUGAAACCUAGCCUUGAUGAAACAUUUAUAGUUCACCAGUGCUUUUUGUCCAGGCAGUGUUUUCUUUAAGACUUUUGAAAUACUGCCAAUUGUUAAAUCAUUUUUAUAGCAAAUGCAGACUGAACAUAUACUACAAGUUUCUGAAAAUCCCAUAAAAAAUUAAAGUCAAUUAGUGACCCCAGUAAUUGUGCACUGACCUUUAGAGUACAAUAAACCUGUAUUUGGCUUGCUCAUAAAAAAAUGGAAUAAUACUUUCUAAAGACCCAUGCCCAGUAGCAGUAACAAUGAAAUACCUGUGGUAGUUAUGAGAGAAAACAAAAAUAGGAAUUAGGAAAAGAUUCAGUUUUUCCUGAAAGAAAAUGCUAACGAUGGGCCACACCUUGACAAUAAGGUCAUGUGUUGAAGGAGGGAAAUAUGUUAGAGUAGUAAGAAAACCUUUCAUUUAAGUGCUAUGCAAUUCAGGUUCACGUAGAGUUGGAAGGAAAAUAAAUCUUCCAAUCUUAGAUGUGCCAAACACAGAAAUUAAUGGUAGUCUCAAAAUAUUAUGUGUGUUGGUUUCCUAUUGCUACUAUAAUAAUUACUGCAAACUUAGUGUCUUAAAACAACACCAAUUUAUUAUCUUCCCAUUCAGGAGGUCAUAAGUCUACCAGGUGUUGGUAGGACUGUAUUCUUUCUGGAAGCUCCAGGAGGAAAUCAAUUUCCUUGUUUUUCUAGCUUCUGGAAAUGCCCACAUUCCUAAGCUUGUGGCCCCUUCCUCCAUCUUCAAGGCCAACAGUAUAGCAUCUUCUCUUAUCUCCAACCUCUGCUUCCAUCUUCAAAUAUUCUUGUCUGACUCUGUUUUUCCAACCUCCCUCUUAGUUUUUUUAAACCUCAUUUAUUUAUUUUGUGAGAAAGAGGGAGAGAGAAAAUGAGUGGAGGAGGGGCAGAGAGAAAGGGAAAGAGAGAAAAUACCAAGCAGGCUCUGCGCUCCCCACUUAGCCCAACCCCGUGGCUCAGUCUCAUGUUGGUAAGAUGAUGACCUGAGCCAAAAUCAAGAGUCAGACCCUGAACCAACUGAGUCACCCAAACUCCUUUUUCUAAGAACCCAUAAUUAUGUUGGCCCCACCUGGAUGGAUAAUCUAGGAUAAUCUUAUUGUCAUAAGAUCCUUAAUUGAAUCACAUUAAUAAAAUUAUGUAAAGUAACAUAUUCACAGGUUCCAGGGAUUAGGACAUAAGCGUUUUUGGAGAGGCCGUUAUUCAGCCCAUGAAUAUAUAUACAUACAUUCAAUUAAGAGAAUUACCUUUCCUUACUUUCCAGCAGACUAAAGCCCUUGGAAAUCUAGGUUCUAUAAUGGGCUACAAGUCAGCCUGUUUAAUUUGUUUCAUUUAAUCAAAGAACUCUGAACAAAAACCCUUUGCUUCUAUUUAAAAUUGUGCUAUGUUCAGAUCAAGAACAUGCAAUUUAUUUACUACUAAAGGAAAACAGUCUCAACUUUCAAACUCAAUUUUCUUCAAGUCUAUAUUAUGCAAAUACAAGCUGAGGGUUUCUUGCACAUUUGGAUUCUGCUGCCUUUAGUAGUUUUCUCUUCCUGUCCCUUAACUAUUGUGUACAAAAUUCAACUCCCUCGUCCAAUUUUCACAAGAAUCCCACUCAAGUGUUUCUAAACUUGAGUUGUAAUUGACAGGACCCAACACCCACCUCAAGGCCUAAGGUAUCCAAUUUCUCUCAAAGUCUUUUAUUUUUAUUCUCAUGUACCUACCCAUGCCUUCCCAGGAGCAACACAAACCUCUCCCCUGCCCUGUGCAUAGCAGUUUACAGGAUAUUUUUCCAUCAAAUCUAACAGAGGUUAUCAAAAGUUGUUGUUUUUUUAUUACAAAGUUAGCCAUGUUCACUAAACUUUUUUCCAUGACAUUUCACAUAAUAUGUUCAGUUUAUUUAGUAAGAAAAAAGGCAGAUGAAAACAGAAAAUACUGCCUGUUUCUUCAGUUUGUAGACUUUGAAUGUAACACUAAACAUAGUAAAUGCUAGCAGGGGUGUUAAUAUUUGUGAUCCAGGGUGUCUCAGAGAAAAUUCAAGGCUCUGGUAAUUAUUCUGAGUUAUUGGGAGAUGGAUUUUGAAAUUACCUGUGUUUAGAGAGCUCCACAAGUAGGAACUUUCAGCCAUGAACUAUAUUGGCAGAAAUAUAGAACAUCAUUUAAUAUUUUCUGCACUGUUAAAUAUUUAAUGGUUUCAAUCACAACAAAGAAAUUAGAGAACUUUUUAAAGUUUUUUAGUAAUAACAGCUAAGAAUCUUCUUUAGCCUAAAUUCUGGUAAUUUAACCAAAAUUACUGAAAUAAUCAUCCAAAAUACUGUUUUUUGGACUUUCAAAAAGUAUAUUACAGUCAUUUUAUAUGAUGUAUAUUAACUUUUUGUUACAAAUGCCUUUGAGAAUGAGAGUAUCUCUAAAUAUAAGAAAUGUCUUUAUUUUUUUCCUUUCAUUUAAUUUUUUUAUCCAAUAUCUGAAUUAUAGUAUAUUGGCAAAACUAAUAUUAAACAGUUUGUUUCACUGGUCUAGAAAUAAGUGAUGAAACACUUCCAUAACGUUGAAGUAUUUGAGUUAUGGAUUUGCUGUGGCAGGCAUGAUGAUUGGCUAUACAAAGACUGGGUGUCCCUGGGCCGCCUUCGUUAUAACAUUGUAAAAUGCUAACACAUUAACCUUUCGCUACUUUUUGUAACUAGGAUAGCCAAGGAUCCAGUUUAAAAGGAAAAAGCAUAACCAUAAAUUGCUUGGUGGGGCUCCCAGAAAUCACUUGAAAAGUGGAUGGAAUCAGGCGACCACCUCCCACCCCCUGCCAUUUACCUUCCCCACUUUUUUUUUUUUUUUUUUUUUUUUUUUGCCUGGGUUGGAGAUCACAUCUCUGGAAGUGGAAUGGCCAGCUUUACACCGUAAAA
Long non-coding RNA from Acinonyx jubatus (cheetah), 10974 nucleotides. RefSeq lists it as uncharacterized. NCBI's taxonomy places the organism in Eukaryota, Metazoa, Chordata, Mammalia, Carnivora, Felidae. The record is from RefSeq and is a predicted model, not a curated record. The transcript has 5 exons.